GGACACAGACUCGUGUUGUGUUGAUAAGACGGGGGAUCGUGCAAAGGGCAGAGAACAGUUCUUCAUUCAUCGAGCUGAUUUACACGCCAUUUCGUUCUUAAAACCUGGCGCCUAUAGACGCAACAGAGACAUUGCCAAUACUGGACAAAAUCCAUGCAACGGCAGUAGAAAUCAUCACCAAUUUUAAUGGAUAUCAAACGACACUGGAUAAGUCCUGAAGAAAUCUGGUUCCGUAGAGCUUUUGGUGGAUCCCUUACUGUCUGAGGUCCAUCCUGCGAUGCAUGUGAGUUGUGGACGCUCCUUGGGCAGCAGAGAGCGCGGCUUCUCGCCCUCCGAGAGCCAUUCUCCAUUCCGGGUCUUUGCGGCGUCCUGCUUCUCCGGAGUUUCACCGUAGCAGUGGCGCUGCAGAAGACUGUCAGGUACGUGCGGUGCAGAUCCAGCUUUUCUCUCCACACUCUUCCCUCAUCUCUUCCCCCUUUCCACUUCAAAGUAGCUAUAGCAGAUCUCGCCGGGAGUCCCAUGGUGGAGCGGGGCGCUUACUGGGGAUCUCUCUUUGCCGUUGCACUUUGCACUGUUUUUACAUUUGCCACACUCGAGGGAUACGAGCUGGACUGGGACGACUUAGUCCAUUGGCGGCGGACCACAGUUCCAGCGCUCCCUCCCCCCC
Paramormyrops kingsleyae is the source of this 667-nucleotide non-coding RNA. Lineage: Eukaryota; Metazoa; Chordata; Actinopteri; Osteoglossiformes; Mormyridae. The record is from RefSeq and is a predicted model, not a curated record.